Molecule: ribosomal RNA, 433 nt
Filed under: uncultured bacterium
Lineage: Bacteria
Description: partial 16S ribosomal RNA
Rfam family: Bacterial small subunit ribosomal RNA
Source: RNAcentral
AACGAACGCUGGCGGCAUGCCUAACACAUGCAAGUCGAACGAAGGCUUCGGCCUUAGUGGCGCACGGGUGCGUAACGCGUGGGAAUCUGCCCUUUGCUUCGGAAUAACAGUUAGAAAUGACUGCUAAUACCGGAUGAUGUCGCAAGACCAAAGAUUUAUCGGCAAAGGAUGAGCCCGCGUAGGAUUAGCUAGUUGGUGGGGUAAAGGCCUACCAAGGCGACGAUCCUUAGCUGGUCUGAGAGGAUGAUCAGCCACACUGGGACUGAGACACGGCCCAGACUCCUACGGGAGGCAGCAGUGGGGAAUAUCGGACAAUGGGCGAAAGCCUGAUCCAGCAAUGCCGCGUGAGUGAUGAAGGCCUUAGGGUUGUAAAGCUCUUUUACCCGGGAUGAUAAUGACAGUACCGGGAGAAUAAGCUCCGGCUAACUCCGUG